Molecule: unclassified non-coding RNA, 709 nt
Filed under: Hevea brasiliensis (rubber tree)
Lineage: Eukaryota; Viridiplantae; Streptophyta; Magnoliopsida; Malpighiales; Euphorbiaceae
Source: RNAcentral
AGCUCCUAUUCCCAAUCCAUACUUUGCUGCUGAAUAUAGACUGCAACUGCCAGGAGAAUUGCAGUGGUGGGUAUGGCAAUGUCUCCAAACUUAGAGUAAAAGUCCACAUUUGGGUUCACAAAUUCAUAUUCAUCAGCAAAGUAUGGAUUGGGAAUAGGAGCUCUUAUGUAAUCAUAGACGUGAGGAAGAAGUCUGACAAAUGUAAUCCCCAUGAAAUAGAGUUCCUUCAAAGGCUUACAAUCAAUUUGCCACAUAAUAUUUCCAAUGACUUGUGGCAGCAAGAAAAAGUCUUGCACAAGACCCACAUACUCCUCAAGUUCAGUUUCCCAUUCUUGCAAUGUACGGGAAUUACCAGCUGAAUCAAUAUAUUUCUCCAUUCGGAAAGGCUUCCGGCUCGUUUUAAAACUAUGAAUGAUGAGAACAAUUACAUACCCAGUUACAUGUAUGGUCAAUAUGGCAAGGAAUACCCGCUUGUCAUUUGGGACACGAUGUGGCUCAUGAGGAGUUCUUGCAAGUAACCUGAUACGAGAUUUCCACACCUUCUGACAAAGUCUUAGAGUUAGCAGAAAUGAAACCAUGACAAGAAGCUUCACUGUAUAAUCAAUCACAUGCACCCACUGAUUCUUCUCAAGAUCAUAUGAUGAUGUUUCAUAAGAUUCAGAUGACAUCCUCUUGAAGAGAGCUUCUGCACCUGUAAUCAGUGGAAGGC